Molecule: unclassified non-coding RNA, 346 nt
Filed under: soil metagenome
Description: partial contains 5.8S ribosomal RNA, internal transcribed spacer 2, and large subunit ribosomal RNA
Rfam family: 5.8S ribosomal RNA (bases 1-119)
Source: RNAcentral
GAUGAAGAACGUAGCGAAAUGCGAUACGUAAUGUGAAUUGCAAAUUCAGUGAAUCACCGAGUCUUUGAACGCACAUUGCGCCCCCUGGUAUUCCGGGGGGCAUGCCUGUCCGAGCGUCAUUGCUGCCCUCAAGCACGGCUUGUGUGUUGGGCCCCGUCCUCCGAUCCCGGGGGACGGGCCCGAAAGGCAGCGGCGGCACCGCGUCCGGUCCUCGAGCGUAUGGGGCUUUGUCACCCGCUCUGUAGGCCCGGCCGGCGCUUGCCGAUCAACCCAAAUUUUUUAUCCAGGUUGACCUCGGAUCAGGUAGGGAUACCCGCUGAACUUAAGCAUAUCAAUAAGCGGAGGA